AGUGAACGCUGGCGGUAGGCCUAACACAUGCAAGUCGAACGGCAGCACAGUAAGAGCUUGCUCUUACGGGUGGCGAGUGGCGGACGGGUGAGGAAUACAUCGGAAUCUACUUUUUCGUGGGGGAUAACGUAGGGAAACUUACGCUAAUACCGCAUACGACCUACGGGUGAAAGCAGGGGAUCUUCGGACCUUGCGCGAUUGAAUGAGCCGAUGUCGGAUUAGCUAGUUGGCGGGGUAAAGGCCCACCAAGGCGACGAUCCGUAGCUGGUCUGAGAGGAUGGUCGGCCACACGGGAACUGGGACACGGUCCAGACUCCUACGGGAGGCAGCAGUGGGGAAUAUUAGACAAUGGGCGCAAGCCUGAUCCAGCCAUACCGCGUGGGUGAAGAAGGCCUUCGGGUUGUAAAGCCCUUUUGUUGGGAAAGAAAAGCAGCAGGUUAAUACCCAGCUGUUCUGACGGUACCCAAAGAAUAAGCACCGGCUAACUUCGUG
RNAcentral lists this ribosomal RNA (492 nucleotides) under uncultured bacterium. RNAcentral describes it as "partial 16S ribosomal RNA". It matches the Rfam family "Bacterial small subunit ribosomal RNA", at positions 29 to 507 of the family's 1533-position model. The record is from RNAcentral.